AAGGAGAAACAAGAAGCGAGCUUACGGUUGAGUUUCCUCUUGCGAGACUCCAUGGAGUCGAAAGAAGCUGCAUAAACUGGUGCCACUGUUGCCAUGUUCUGAGCAAAGGAAUACAACUUGUUAGCUUUCUUUACAAGUUAACUUAUAAACAGAGAGAUCAGCCCAAAUCUAAACAACCCUAAAUAAAAAAUGAUGAAAGACAUUAAAGUUAUCAUCUUUGGAUACCCAAUCGCAGAAAACCUUCGUCGAUCAACAAGUAAAGAUCGUACGGAACCCAAACACUAGAGGAAAAUUGCUCCGCAAGCAAAGCAAAUAAUGAAAACCCUAGUUUCCGAAACCACACCUCGAAAGUAUCAAACUAAAACCUAAAAGAACAGCAACGAAAGAGAGAAAGUAAAA
Long non-coding RNA from Brassica rapa (field mustard), 399 nucleotides. RefSeq lists it as uncharacterized. The record is from RefSeq and is a predicted model, not a curated record. Lineage: Eukaryota; Viridiplantae; Streptophyta; Magnoliopsida; Brassicales; Brassicaceae.